This 274-nucleotide ribosomal RNA is filed under the name uncultured bacterium. RNAcentral describes it as "partial 16S ribosomal RNA". It matches the Rfam family "Bacterial small subunit ribosomal RNA", at positions 523 to 796 of the family's 1533-position model. The record is from RNAcentral.
AUACGGAGGGUGCAAGCGUUAUUCGGAAUCACUGGGCGUAAAGGACGCGUAGGCGGGGUGGAAAGUCAGGUGUGAAAGCCUACAGCUUAACUGUAGAACUGCACUUGAAACUCUCACCCUCGAGUAUGGGAGGGGCAGAUGGAAUUAGUGGUGUAGGGGUAAAAUCCGUAGAUAUCACUAGGAAUACCGAAAGCGAAGGCGAUCUGCUGGAACAUAACUGACGCUAAGGCGUGAAAGCGUGGGGAGCAAACAGGAUUAGAUACCCUAGUAGUCC